GUUCUUCGUAAGAAAUUUAGAGUAUGACUGAGUUAGGCGGACGGGUGGAGUAACGCGUGAGCCAAACCCUAGCCCUUCAGAGGGGAGUAGCGUACUGGAAACGGACGGUAAUACCGCAUAACGUACAAAGGCCGCAUGACCAUUGUACCAAAACUGAGGUGCUGAAGGAUGGGCUCGCGUUGGAUUAGAUAGUUGGUGGGGUAACGGCCUACCAAGUCGACGAUCCAUAGCCGGACUGAGAGGUUGAACGGCCACAUUGGGACUGAGACACGGCCCAGACUCCUACGGGAGGCAGCAGUGGGGAAUAUUGCACAAUGGGGGAAACCCUGAUGCAGCAACGCCGCGUGAAGGAAGACGGUUUUCGGAUUGUAAACUUCUGUUCUUAGUGAAGAUAGUGACGGUAGCUAAGGAGCAAGCCACGGCUAACUACGUGCC
RNAcentral lists this ribosomal RNA (435 nucleotides) under uncultured chicken cecal bacterium. RNAcentral's name for it is "bacterial SSU rRNA". It matches the Rfam family "Bacterial small subunit ribosomal RNA", at positions 68 to 509 of the family's 1533-position model. The record is from RNAcentral.